CAGCCUCUGAGAAAAGAGACACCAGUGGGAAAUUUUGCUUUGAUGCCAGCUCGCCAGCUAGCUCUGGCACCAGGGAUGAGGAGGAGGAAGGACUGCCGGCUCUCGCGAUGCUCCCCUGCAUGUGCACACUUGCAGAGCUGAGCUCAGCCGGAGAUCCUGGGAGAGGGUUGCAGCAACUGCAGAGCAAGUCACCAGCUGUGCCCUGCCUGACUGGCCAACACAUGGCUGGCACAGCCGGAGCCAGCAGUGGCAGCCAGCCACCCGCCAUCGGACGAGAGAGACCGCGGAGAAGAGCUGGCACUGCAAGGACGCUCUGGAAGGACCGUGUCGUACAACCAUCCAUCGUCCCAAGAUGUCGGUGAUCAUGGAGGACACACCAUGGUCAGCAGACCCACCCUGACUGAAGGAUCACUAGACAGAAGAUGAUGCAAAGUAUUUCUAUUUGCUAUAUAUAUUCUCCAGUGUACUAUCAAGGAGAUGCUUCUUCUCAGCCCAGGACAGUGAAUGUGUUAGGUAGAAAAAGCAGACAGAAAAGUCUCUCACCUUGCCACAGACUUAUUUGCUCUUCUUUAAUUCCUUCACUUGCUCUAGUGGACCCAUCUUGUCCAUCCCAUCCUCUCAUGUUCCCCAGAUUAAUUCAUUUGGCCUUCUUGUAAACUCUAGAAUUACUGUACAAAUUGAACAAUUUUAUUAUCAUCAUAACAAUUGAGGAUAAUGUGUCCUAAAGUCACACCUCAGAGAGAUCCAACUUAACCAACAGGAAACUGGACAGGAACUAUCUACUGAUGAUACCCAAAACUGAGUUUCAAAACUGAGGCUGAUAAAGAGCGUGGAAGACCACCGCUGCCCUAGCUCUUGCUUUACAGCUGUGGGCCAUGGGCAUGAAGCAGUUUAGUGACUUGACCAAAAUCCAGAAGCUGGGUACCAAAGCACUCCUGAGGAUCCCAAACACGGGAACCAGGGGGCUAAAAAAUCCUCUUUACCACUUAACUUUCCAUUGCCCAGUCCUGAUAAGAGAGAGGGUUCAAUUAAUGUUUCAAGCACAAGUGCCAUUAAUACUCUGUCCAAAUGCAUCCCACAAUUAGUAUCAUCUCAGCUUCUAGGAACAGGCUGUCUCCUCUUUGGCACCAUGCAGCAGGUGAAACCUUGGGGUGCCCACUAAUGAACUGUGUUAGGCUGCUUCUAUUCUCACUACAGACCCUUCGAAACAGUAUCCUUUUAACAGAGACCUUGAAGCUACUUUCAAUAAAACCUUCUCCAUGU
This 1263-nucleotide long non-coding RNA is filed under the name Chloebia gouldiae (Gouldian finch). RNAcentral describes it as "Erythrura gouldiae (Gouldian finch) lncRNA (ENSEGOG00005000910.1)". Lineage: Eukaryota; Metazoa; Chordata; Aves; Passeriformes; Passeridae. The record is from RNAcentral.